RNAcentral lists this ribosomal RNA (473 nucleotides) under uncultured delta proteobacterium. RNAcentral describes it as "bacterial SSU rRNA". It matches the Rfam family "Bacterial small subunit ribosomal RNA", at positions 400 to 863 of the family's 1533-position model. The record is from RNAcentral. Lineage: Bacteria; Deltaproteobacteria.
CGUGAGUGAUGAAGGCUUUCGGGUCGUAAAGCUCUGUCGAGUGGGAAGAAACUAUAUAGGGUUAAUACCUUUAUAUACUGACGGUACCACUGAAGGAAGCACCGGCUAACUCCGUGCCAGCAGCCGCGGUAACACGGGGGGUGCAAGCGUUAUUCGGAUUCACUGGGCGUAAAGAGCGCGUAGGCGGCCAGGUAAGUCAGAUGUGAAAGCCCGGGGCUCAACCCUGGAAGUGCAUCUGAAACUGCUUGGCUUGAGUAUGGGAGAGGGUAGUGGAAUUCCUGGUGUAGAGGUGAAAUUCGUAGAUAUCAGGAGGAACACCGGUGGCGAAGGCGACUACCUGGACCAAUACUGACGCUGAGGCGCGAAGGCGUGGGGAGCAAACAGGAUUAGAUACCCUGGUAGUCCACGCAGUAAACGUUGUUCACUAGGUGUAGCGGGUAUUGACCCCUGCUGUGCCGCAGCUAACGCAUUAA